Molecule: ribosomal RNA, 276 nt
Filed under: uncultured Dialister sp.
Lineage: Bacteria; Bacillati; Bacillota; Negativicutes; Veillonellales; Veillonellaceae
Description: partial 16S ribosomal RNA
Rfam family: Bacterial small subunit ribosomal RNA
Source: RNAcentral
UCUUUUCAGAAUUGAGUGGCAAACGGGUGAGUAACACGUAAACAACCUGCCUUCAGGAUGGGGACAACAGACGGAAACGACUGCUAAUACCGAAUAAGUUCCAAGAGCCGCAUGGCCCAUGGAAGAAAAGGUGGCCUCUACCUGUAAGCUAUCGCCUGAAGAGGGGUUUGCGUCUGAUUAGCUAGUUGGUGUGGUAAUGGCAUACCAAGGUAACGAUCAGUAGCCGGACUGAGAGGUUGAACGGCCACAUUGGGACUGAGAUACGGCCCAGACUCC